AUGGCCUCCCAGGCCGCCCUUGUUAAAGAUGGCGCCUCCGUGCGACGUCCUUCCCUUCACCUAAGCCGGCCUCGCUCCCUCCUGCCGCCGAGGACGCCUCGUCCAGCAGCAAGACGGCAGUACACGCGCGUCGCCUUCCUCCCGUCCUUGCCGAAAGCGACAAACCCUUCAACGCCCUCCUCCGCGGGCCGCAGGAAGCCCCUCCCUCUCCGCCCCGGCGGACACCUCCCCGCGCCCGCGGGAGCGACCGGAAGUGGGGCGGCUCAGAGGCUGAGGCGGCGGGGCGGGCACUUCCGCCCGUCACCGACAUGGCCGCAGGCCGGGAGUGCGCAUGAGCAGCUGUCCAUGGAGCUCUCCGAGUCCGGGGACGGAGAGCACGGUCCGGGGAGAUCGGCGGCUGCGGCGGCGGCGGCCGGUGAGUCGGGGGCCGGCCGCGGGCGGAGCGGGGCCGUGUGCGGGGCUGGCAGGCGGGGCAGGCGGGGUUGCGCUCCCGAGGGCCGGCGGCCUCCCGCGGAGGACGCCUUUGUUUUGCGGGAGGGGGCCGUGCCCGCGUCGUGCCUCCCGCCCCGCCUUGUGGGCCGAGCGCGCUCCCCGCCCUCCUCCGGGCCCGCCGAGCCCCGAGCCCCGAGCCCGAGCCCCGAGCCCCGAGCCCUUCCCGGCCGCCCGGCCUCCAGGCUCGCGGGCUCCCGGGCUCGCGGGCUCGCGCCGCCGGCUGCGGGGCCUGCGGGGCCUGCGGGAGACGCCGGCCUGGUUCGGGGACUUGGUCGUCCUCCCCUUUGUGUCCAGCCCCACAGCAGGGGCUGUUGCAGGGCCCCCUGCCCCGGCGCGCCCGCCCCCACAUCCUGUCCGCGCUUCCGUGUCGCCUCCCCCGAUGCCCGGGAAAUGCUCCCGGAUGUCCAGCUAACAGUGCGCAGAGCAGCCCGACCCGGUUGCCGGUGUCCUCAGAGGCUGCCCCUGCUGACAGCCGCGGGCGGUAGAGACGCCCCCCUGCAGGCAGCGCCCGGCUCCGUAGGUUGA
Molecule: long non-coding RNA, 1017 nt
Filed under: Canis lupus familiaris (dog)
Lineage: Eukaryota; Metazoa; Chordata; Mammalia; Carnivora; Canidae
Description: lncRNA (ENSCAFG00030018369.1)
Source: RNAcentral